RNAcentral lists this transfer RNA (67 nucleotides) under Euterpnosia chibensis. RNAcentral's name for it is "tRNA-Val". Lineage: Eukaryota; Metazoa; Arthropoda; Insecta; Hemiptera; Cicadidae. The record is from RNAcentral.
CAAAUUAUAACUAAUAUAGUAUUUUAUUUACACUAAAAUUUUUAAUUGUUAAUUCAGUUUAAUUUGA